CAAAGAUCCGGAGGAGUUCAGAAGUUCAGGAAAAUAAAGGAGGAUUAUCGCUGAAGGGUUCUGUGAAGCAGAGAGAAGCGACCCAAACGGACUCCCACGGACACAGAGGGAAGACCCCAUGAGGACACCAUGAGAGGCAGCCGUCUGCAAGUCGAGGAGGAAGAACCCCCCACGGCCGGCCCCACGCCCUCGGGCUUCCAGCCUCCAGAACUGUGAGAACAUACAUUUCUGUUGUGUAGGCCGCCCAGUCUGUGCUGUGUUGUGGCGGCUCUAGCAAACUCUGCAAUGCACACACACACACACACACACACUAAAGUGUGUUUGUGUCCAUUUCUGAGGAUCCCAGACACCUCAGGACACAGAUGGUGACGGUAGUUCGAGGUAGGAAGAAGGGUGCGUGCCAGGCGGGGGGUGAGGCGUACGUGCGUAAGGCCCCGCGCGUAGGGACAGUGAAGCAAGAAGAUGUGGAUUGUUUUUUAAACUAGACCUUUAACUGCCCCCCCGGGAUUUCCUCCUGCAGGGCUCCGCUUUCCCGUUCCCGUUCUUCUCCUGUGAGCAGGGUCACUCACCUCACUGACCGCGAGGGGCCCCCAACUUGCCCGAGCGCAACAUCCCACCCAGCUCCCGUCACUGGGGCCAAAGGCCUUCCCACCACAAAAAGGGGCCCGAAAGGUGCCUUUCGGAGGGAGAGUGAUUCUGGGUUCCGGGUGCUGAGUCCAACAUACUUCACGGCCAGUCUGACAGCAGGGUUGCUGAACAUUUUCAUGGACUGUUUGGGUUCCUGGGUUUUUGAAAGGAAGCCAUUUGGAAGGAGCGUCAUGGUGACUUUGUGGCAAGGUAGGGUGUGGGGAGGCCUUUGGCGGUUCCAGGUAGUUCCCCUGUGAGCAUCUUGGUUGCAAGCCUUUUUGCUGGGUAACUAAUCGACUGUAAGGCAAUUUUCCCAUAAAAGAUUAAAAAAAGAAAAAAAAAAGCUGGUUGACCAUUGGGUUUGACAGCGUGUUGGUCUCAUCAACUGGUUUUCUUCGUUGACGCAGUACUCCCAUUUUUAUUGUAUAUAAAUCUUAGCCCUCAUAAUGGUCUAUACAGUCCUGCGAAGUUUCGAACCCACAUUUCCCAUAGAACUUUGGACCAUUUAUCAGUGGACAUCUGACAAUAUGCCAGGAACAAACAACCGUGUAGAGGCGUUCACCGUGCAAUACCAAACUCAGGGACAAACCUGCAUCGAAGUAUCUGGAAGCAGAUACCUCUCUUGAUGAAGAAAGACAUUUUAGCAAAAAAAAGAAAAAGUACGCUGUCAAACCAGGACAUGAAUCCACAUACAGAAAAGAGAGAGAGAGGAAGAGAGAGAGAGAGAGAGAAAGCAUAAUACUCUGGAGGAGAGAUUUUGAAGACAAGUGCUUAGAUACAACCCACAAAGUAAGAUCGGUUAUUUGUGCUGGCUUGGCGUGAAUCUACACAUAUGUUAAAUGCAUUCAGAUAUUUUGUAUUUUGCAAUGAAGUCUUUUU
RNAcentral lists this long non-coding RNA (1506 nucleotides) under Ursus maritimus (polar bear). Its description in RNAcentral is "lncRNA (ENSUMAG00000012303.1)". Lineage: Eukaryota; Metazoa; Chordata; Mammalia; Carnivora; Ursidae. The record is from RNAcentral.